GGCGGCAGAUUGUAGUUUUUGUUUUGGCCGGAAAGGCUUACCAUGAAUUGCCAGGGCUGAGAGAGAUGGAGAAGGAUUCGCGGCGGUGACAGAUUAAAUUCCACAGUUACAUUAUAGACUUGGAAACUUGUCCUUGUGUGAACGGGAGCCGGAAAGCCUUGAGAACUUAUUCCUCGACCCGGACAUGGCACAUGAGAAAAUGAAACUAGGUUUCAAGUCGCUGCCGAGUUCCACUACCGCAGACGGCAACAUUCUGAGAAGAGUCAACAGUGCCCCUUUGAUCAAUGGACUUGGAUCUUACUUCUUAAACUAGACUUUUAAAAUGAAAUGUUGGAUUUCACAUUUCAGUAUUAUAAGGUUUUCUAGAUACCGUAAAAAUGUCUG
RNAcentral lists this small RNA (384 nucleotides) under Pan troglodytes (chimpanzee). RNAcentral describes it as "processed transcript". The record is from RNAcentral. Lineage: Eukaryota; Metazoa; Chordata; Mammalia; Primates; Hominidae.